UCAUUAAUGGAAGCCAAAAACCAGUCUGAAUGACCUUGAGGCUACUCAGACUUCUUAAUACUGUUAAGAAGAUUGCAAGUAGAUCAUGGUUUACACAGGAGAUUUGUUACUAAGAAACUAGAAAUGGAAAUUUUGCACCUGGAAUGAUGUUGGAAGGUUUAUUUUCAAUUAAACCUACAAGUGACUCCUUAUGUAACAUGGAAUUAAUGUACUUCUCUUAAGCAUUUAGAAUUCUUAAUGCUGGAUUAUCUGAUAGUCGGUGUAGAAUAUUAUGAACAUGUACUUUCAUCUCAGUAUCGUGGGAACAGAACUAUUUAAGAGCUCUAACAUGAUGGUGCUGGGAACUGAACCUGGGACCCAAGAGACUCAGCACACAAUAUUUUGACUGGUUUCCAUGUCUGCCUAGAAGGGAGAACCAAGUCCUCUGUGAGAAGAAGGCUGCCACUCUUAACACCACAGAAAUACCCGGAAGCAAACUAGAUGGCACAGGCAAGACCGCCAAACAGGAGGGAAAUAAAGACACAAAAAUUCAAAGUUCUUUUCAAGGUAGAAGAUGAAAAAUAAAAUAAGCAUGGAAUCAGAUCCAAGAUUACCUCUUAA
Erinaceus europaeus (western European hedgehog) is the source of this 600-nucleotide long non-coding RNA. RefSeq lists it as uncharacterized. The transcript is spliced from 4 exons. Lineage: Eukaryota; Metazoa; Chordata; Mammalia; Eulipotyphla; Erinaceidae. The record is from RefSeq and is a predicted model, not a curated record.